Molecule: long non-coding RNA, 240 nt
Filed under: Lathyrus oleraceus (garden pea)
Lineage: Eukaryota; Viridiplantae; Streptophyta; Magnoliopsida; Fabales; Fabaceae
Description: Pisum sativum (pea) long non-coding RNA (PSAT_LNC011647)
Source: RNAcentral
GAAAUUCGACGGAUGGAAAUGAAAAUGGAAUUUGGGAAAAUGAUUUGUAUGGUGUGAAGAUGAGAAAGUUUGGAGCUUUUGUGGGGUUCAAGGGCUUUUUCGGAAGGUGGAAAAAUGGGCUUUGAAGGUUUGAAGGUGUGAAAAUUGUGAAGAAAGGGAGUUUUCCCCGAGCUUAUAUAGACGUUGUGGCGGGCGCCACAGCAUCUAUGGCGGGCGCCACAAGGCAAAAUUCGGCUUGGC